AGAACCAAAUCAAGGUCAUCAACUUGAAGAACAAGCCACACCGCAAAGAUGUAAUCCAACAAGGCAUAUGAAGAAUUUGCAAUCAUAAGUGAUAGAGAAACAUACGUGUUGUAAUGCUUCCAGCAAUCAAUAUGAGAGGCAUCUCACCAUGAAUCAACAUGGAGAUUGAAUGAUUGAAAUUUCAUUCUCUGGAUAAUGGGCUUUGGAAAAAUCAGAGCAAUACGCCUUUGUGUGAGAUAUAAUAGGCAUCCCAAGAUGCAAGGUUCACAUAAGUAGUAUUCAGUGACAAAAACUUGUAAUUGUCCACAUCGGACCAUUUAUUGAAGGAUCAGUGUUCCAACUUGAACAAUCAUCACACUUAGAGGCAACAAUUGAAUAGCAAUUUUCAUUUAAUCUUCGAACCACCAACAUGUUCUUCCCAUAUUUAUCAACAACUCUACAACUCGUCUUGGAAAAACAAACAUCAUUAGCAACUUCAUCAUAGAGUUGACCAAUACUAAGAAGAUUAGUUGACAACCUAGUCACAUAGUGAACAUCUUCAAG
This 543-nucleotide long non-coding RNA is filed under the name Malus domestica (apple). RNAcentral's name for it is "long non-coding RNA (MDOM_LNC013170)". Lineage: Eukaryota; Viridiplantae; Streptophyta; Magnoliopsida; Rosales; Rosaceae. The record is from RNAcentral.